Non-coding RNA from Acanthosepion pharaonis, 97 nucleotides. The record is from the annotation of a GenBank genome assembly. NCBI's taxonomy places the organism in Eukaryota, Metazoa, Mollusca, Cephalopoda, Sepiida, Sepiidae.
UGAAAAACAGGUUCUCAUGCAAUCACUGAAGUUAAGCAAUGUCAAGCCUGGUCAGUACCUAGAUGGGAGACAACUUGGGAAUACAAGGUGCUGUAAG